Acinonyx jubatus (cheetah) is the source of this 2863-nucleotide long non-coding RNA. RefSeq lists it as uncharacterized. Lineage: Eukaryota; Metazoa; Chordata; Mammalia; Carnivora; Felidae. The transcript has 2 exons. The record is from RefSeq and is a predicted model, not a curated record.
UGUGUGUGUGUGUGUGUAAAUAGAGAGAGUAGCAGUUAUAGUUUAGGGGGAUCAGGUAAGCUUUUUUCAGUUCUUGUAGGCAAUAUUUACAUCAUAUUAAUUUUUUCAUCCCCCUUGGAACUGUGAAUUCACCUGCAGUUGCCUUCACAAGCCAUAGUACCCACACCCUCAUCCUACAUGUAGUCAGAGCCAACAAAUUCCUUGGCAAGUUUUAAUUAAGCUCUUUCAGUGUGUCCACCCUGCAUAGGCUUGAUGGGGGAAUAGAUACAAGAGCAGUAUAAACCAGGGCCCCUUGCCAGAGCAAAUAUUUUGAUACUGAAUGAUUUGGCUGCAUCUAAGCAGGCGAGACCUGAGAACACUCACUCGCAAGGCUGCCUCUGCUAACCAAAUGGCACAGCAUACUAUGAUGUUAUAAUAUUAGGUUCUUAAUCAUGGAAACACUGGCGUCUGUUUCAGCGGAAGCUUCCUCCCAGAUGGUGCAUCCUACUGUUUUUGUCGUCUGGAACAGUGUGAGGUUUCUUAAAUGGCUGUACGCUUCCAAAUCAUCUUCCACACAAUGGCAGCCUGUUAAUUAAGUGGUCCCUUUGUGAUUGCAUUUGAUAAAUAUGAGAUGAGAAGGGUUUAUCGAGCUGUGAAGAAAAAAGCAAGGCACAGCAACAGGAAGAAGCUCCGGCGGGUGGAAAGGCCUUUGUGUGGGCGUCGUCCAGGGAGCUUCAAGGGAAUUGGGGACAGCUUUGCAGGCACAGAAAGGAGAAGGCUGGGAUUCACUCAGACCACACGCUGCGACGUCUGCCUAGUGGAUGGCCAGCCAGAUGGACAUGGUGUGUGAGGCACUUUGUGGCAGAGGCGGGCAGGGAGGUGGAAGCCUUCCAGUUCUUUCUAAGUUGACUGAUGUGAGGUUGUCAGUCACACUGCCAGGCGCUGUUUUGACUCCACUCAUCAAGAUUUGCACUGUGCAGCUCCAAAAAAGGUAUCUGCUUUGAAAGUAGUGUUCUGCAUUCUUGGAGCAGAUGACUGGUGACAACAUCCAAUUAAAUAUAAACGCUUGGCCGGGGGACUUGACUUGGAGGGUUGGUGAAGUUUCAGGUCUAACUUGUUAAACUUGGCCUUCCUCAAAUACUGGACAACUUUCUCCAAAAACAGCACGUCAGGGAAUGAAACCUAAUUAUAAGUGGCAUCUUCAAUUGGACACAGAUCUCCAUCAGCCACCUUCCUGCCUCGGGAAAGGCGUACAUCAACCCCAGGCUAGAGAAAGGAUCUGUGAUACCUGAUGACUUCUUUGUCUUUCCCACUGGUUCAAUCCUAUUUCAGCCAUUCAUGAGAUGAAUAUCUACGAGGCAUUUACAGGGAGGAGGGCACAUAUCUGCGGAGGUGACGACUGGGCUGAUGUGAUUCUGUGAACCACUUGAGGGCAGAGGCUUUGGCUUUAUCUUCAUACUUCCGACAUCUAGCAGAGUGCCUGCUGCCCGGCAUGGGAGAGCCUUGGUUUGGCAACUGACUUCCAGGGGACAUUGUGAAAGCUGGUUGACUCUUGGUCACGUGUUGCAGUGAUGAGCCGGUAGCAUCCUUGACUCUGAGCACCUCCCUCCCCUACUGGGAGGUUACCCCACUUGUUCUUCACCAUCAUGGCCACCACUGGACCCUAGUGUCUCAUUUCACACUACAGGCUCCCCCUGUAAAAUAAAAUUGAUAAGAGGCUUUCUCACUGGUCAGAUGCUCCUGCCUCCCAUCCAUUACUCAGUCUACUCGCCUGGCUUCUGAUCUCCUACCUUCUGAAUUUUGUGUACUUCUUGCCUCCUUGCCUGUGGUCUGUUGGCAUCUCUCCAGGUGCUUCUGUGGUACAUGCUGCCCUUUUGCCCGAUUACCCCUUGCUUCCUUCCUGGUCUCCACAAGCCAUGAUGAUCAUGGCCCCCACAGAACAAAUAGCAAAAAUACAAAGCCAUCACUUCCCUGACAUCCCUUGAGAAGACAGAGUGGAGAAGUCUGGCUGUGGAUUGCUGGAUAAGAAAUGGGUCACAACCUGCCCCCUAAUAGGGCCUUGCUCAUCCUAGUUAUUCCAGUUCAUGCCUAAGCACUUCCUACUCUCUGACACUUGUUUUUGUUCUGACUGGCCUUGCUGGUAAGAUGGAAGACAUUGAAUGGCAAAUAGCAAACCCGUAAGAGAACUGGAGUGCUCAGCUUCACCCCUCAGACUCGCUCCCAAGAAGGUAUCAUCUCCUCCAGAAGCAUGAAAGAGAAUGUUCCUGUUGUUAUUUCAGUAGACUUGGCUUUUUAGAGCAGUUUUAAGUUCACAGCAAAAUUGAGUAAGGUGCAAAAAGUUCCCAUAGACCCCACACAUGCACAAUCAUCCUUACCAUCAACAUCUCCCACCAGAGCAGUACGUUUGUUAUCACCCAUGAACCUACAUGGACACAUCAUUAUCACCAAAGUCUAUAGUUUACCUUCUUGGUACUGUACAUUCUAUGGGGUUUGACACAUACACUGAUAUGCCUCCACCAUUGCACUACUGUGCAGAAUAGUUUCAGUGCCCAAAAAUUUCUUUGUGUUCUGCCUGUUUAUCCCUCCCGCCCCCCAACCCCUAGAACACACCGACCUUUUCAUGGUCUCCAUAGUUUUGCCUUUUUCAAAAUCUCAUAUAACUGGAAUCAUACAGUAUGUAGCCUUUUCAGAUUGGCUUCUCUCACUUAGUAAUAUGCAUUUAAGGCUCUCUGUGUCUUUCCAUGAUUGGUAGCUCACUUCUUUCUAGCACUGAAUAUUGUUCCAUCAUCUGGAUAUAACACAGUUUAUAGAUUCAUUCACCUACUGAAAGACAUCUCGGUUGUUGCCAAGUUUGGCAGUUAUAAAUAAAGUUGCUAUAAAUAUC